UUGUGAUGAAAGAGGAAGCAGUGUGUUUGCUGCACAGCUGGGCUCUGCACCGGGUUUGGUUUCACUUUAGACACGUUAAGCCUCAGCUUGAAAUAUCCACACGUGUAAUUUUGACAGAAGCAAAGUGGAUGCAUCAAAGUUGGUUUGUGAAGAUACUGUGGAUACGAACAUCGGAUUUAUUUGGCAAAUUUAAUAUGAGUAUCGAUGGCCUGCGGGAGCAGACCAGCAACUCCAUCCACUCCAGCCAGUGUUGACAACAUAUUUCCAAGAUGUCAUGUCGCUGUAAUGCUUUGUAGAUUUUCUGUAGCUAUGCAGAGAGGAGUGAGAGCCUUGGUUACUCAUGCGACCAGCUGAUUGCGCUGAGUAAACCAGUGCUGCUGCCUGGUGAGAGAUCCAAAAUCCCAAAGGAGCUGCAGAGGAGAUGCCGGGGAUGCAGAGCUGGAACUAUGUGCAGACUGAAGAAGAGGAAAUAUUAACCUUCAGUUUCAGCGGUGAUCAUGGUGAACGUGAGGUCGUUGGGAAAUAAGAUGAAUGAGCACAGCGCGCUGAUUAAGACCCAGAGGGGACACCAUGAGUGUAGCUUGUUGUGUUUCACGGAGACAUGGCUGCAUUCGGAUUUCGCAACCACAGCGCGGUGUUACCGUGCUGAACUAUUGUUUGGGCGAACAGGGACAAUAUAAAGAACAGAAAGAAGAAGGGAGGAGGGAUUGCAUUGCAUGUGAGUGAAAGAUGGUGAAAUUCCGGACAUAUUAAUGCAAAGGAGCGUCUUUGUAGCCCGGUCAUUGAGCUGCUAGCAUUGGGAAUGCGGCCAUAUUAUUUGCAGAGAGAGUUCACGACCACCAUCGCUGAGACAGUGCAAAGUCUGCUACAGGAGGAAUGUGGAGGACAGACUCCAACAUAGUAAUGUGAGGGAUAACUCAUAACUGGGUUCGAGGUGAGAGACAGACAGCCAGGAGGCAGCAUGGAGAGGGCAAAUGAGCUAAAUUUGUUCUUCAACAGGUUCAGGUUGAACAGCCCUCAUCUGUACCCCCCAACCACACUUCCAGACUUCCACACAGCCUCAGUGCCCCAAAUGCGUCUGCCCUCCCCCACUCUAAUCAUCUUCACACUGUACACCUCAAACUUUUGGUACAGAGUCGUGCCACUUGCCAAAGUUGGGUGUAUAAGGGAUAGGGGGUUGAGGUGAGUACAAAGUGCUGGUGGACAGUCUUGUGGAGUGGGCUGGUAAAAAGCAUCUGCUUCUGAAUGUGGCCAUGUCCAGAGAGAGAUGGUAGUCGACUUCAGGAGGAAGUGGAGGGUUUCACAGCCACCGCGUAUUCUGGAAGAGGAUGUUGGCACAGGGGAGGAUUACAAGUACCUGGGCGUCCACAUCGACAACGGAUUGCAAAACCAACACUGAUGCUAUGUAGUACAAGAAAGGGAAGAGCAGACUCUAUUUCCUGAGGAAGCUGAGCUCUUCCAUGUUUACCAGUGAAAUAUACUUUGCUGUGGUCUGCAGCAUCAGAGCCGGUGACACCAACAGACUUAACAACCAGACUCUUUUGAAAGGGCCAACAGCAAUAGGAUUGUACAACUUCUCACCUCUAUCAAACGGUGCUGUAUAGCUUCUGUCCACAUCCAAACUCUCUGAUUACUCCUGCAAUAACUGUGAGGAGUAAUCAAUAUUUUUUUUUUAUAUUCAUAUAUAUUUCU
Molecule: long non-coding RNA, 1692 nt
Organism: Pleuronectes platessa (European plaice)
Lineage: Eukaryota; Metazoa; Chordata; Actinopteri; Pleuronectiformes; Pleuronectidae
Exons: 3
Source: RefSeq, a predicted model, not a curated record